CCUACGGGAGGCAGCAGUGGGGAAUAUUGGGCAAUGGGCGCAAGCCUGACCCAGCAACGCCGCGUGAAGGAAGAAGGCUUUCGGGUUGUAAACUUCUUUUAUCAGGGACGAAGCAAGUGACGGUACCUGAUGAAUAAGCCACGGCUAACUAAGUGCCAGCAGCCGCGGUAAUACGUAGGUGGCAAGCGUUAUCCGGAUUUACUGGGUGUAAAGGGCGUGUAGGCGGGAAAGCAAGUCCGAUUUGAAAACCAUGGGCUCAACCCGUGGCCGGCAUUUGAAACUGUUUUUCAGGAGUACGGGAGAGGCAGACGGAAUUCCUAGUGUAGCGGUGAAAUGCGUAGAUAUUAGGAGGAACACCAGUGGCGAAGGCGGUCUGCUGGACAGCAACUGACGCUGAGGCGCGAAAGCGUGGGGAGCAAACAGGAUUAGAUACCCUGGUAGUC
Molecule: ribosomal RNA, 443 nt
Filed under: uncultured bacterium
Lineage: Bacteria
Description: partial 16S ribosomal RNA
Rfam family: Bacterial small subunit ribosomal RNA
Source: RNAcentral